The sequence is a ribosomal RNA, 572 nucleotides long. It matches the Rfam family "Bacterial large subunit ribosomal RNA", at positions 1814 to 2601 of the family's 2925-position model.
CAUCGCCUCUUGAACCCUUAUAAGAGGUCCAGCCUGCCCAGUGACUCUGUUCAACGGCCGCGGUAUCCUAACCGUGCGAAGGUAGCGUAAUCACUUGUUCUUUAAAUGUGGACUAGUAUGAAUGGCAUCACGAAGGUUAUACUGUCUCCUUUUUCUAAUCAGUGAAACUAAUCUCCCCGUGAAGAAGCGAGGAUAAAACUAUAAGACGAGAAGACCCUAUGGAGCUUUAAACAUUUAUAACACUUGCUAAAUAAAAUACAAAUUUCAGAAUUAUUUACUCUUUAAGCAACUUGUCUAUAAGUUUUUGGUUGGGGUGACCGCGGAGCAUAAUACAACCUCCAUGUUGAAAGAUCUAUUUCUAAGCUAAGAGCUACACCUCUAAGCAUCAACAUAUUGACAUCCAUUGACCCAAUAUAUUUGAACAACGAACCAAGUUACCCUAGGGAUAACAGCGCAAUCCACUUCAAGAGCUCCUAUCGACAAGUGGGUUUACGACCUCGAUGUUGGAUCAGGGUUUCCCAGUGGUGCAGCCGCUACUAAAGGUUCGUUUGUUCAACGAUUAAACCCUACGU